UUAGUGUGUAUCAAUCGAGUUUCUGACCUAUCAGCUUUUGAUGUUAGGGUAUUGGCCUAACAUGGCUAUGACGGGUAACGGGGAAUUAGAGUUCGAUUCCGGAGAGGGAGCCUGAGAAAUAGCUACCACAUCUAAGGAAGGCAGCAGGCGCGUAAAUUACCCAAUUCUAAAGAAGAGAGGUAGUGACAAGAAAUAACAAUGCAAGGUCAAUUUUUGGUUUUGUAAUUGGAAUGGUGGGAAUUUAAAACCUUCCCAGAGUAACAAUUGGAGGGCAAGUCUGGUGCCAGCAGCCGCGGUAAUUCCAGCUCCAAUAGCGUAUAUUAAAAUUGUUGCAGUUAAAACGCU
This 345-nucleotide ribosomal RNA is filed under the name Plasmodium falciparum (malaria parasite P. falciparum). RNAcentral's name for it is "SSU rRNA". It matches the Rfam family "Eukaryotic small subunit ribosomal RNA", at positions 285 to 628 of the family's 1831-position model. The record is from RNAcentral. Lineage: Eukaryota; Apicomplexa; Aconoidasida; Haemosporida; Plasmodiidae.